RNAcentral lists this ribosomal RNA (54 nucleotides) under Candida albicans. Its description in RNAcentral is "partial 28S ribosomal RNA". Lineage: Eukaryota; Fungi; Ascomycota; Pichiomycetes; Serinales; Debaryomycetaceae. The record is from RNAcentral.
UUUGACCUCAAAUCAGGUAGGACUACCCGCUGAACUUAAGCAUAUCAAAAGCCC